This 623-nucleotide ribosomal RNA is filed under the name Leptolyngbya sp. LEGE 13418. RNAcentral describes it as "bacterial SSU rRNA". It matches the Rfam family "Bacterial small subunit ribosomal RNA", at positions 119 to 773 of the family's 1533-position model. Lineage: Bacteria; Bacillati; Cyanobacteriota; Cyanophyceae; Leptolyngbyales; Leptolyngbyaceae. The record is from RNAcentral.
GAGAACAUGCCUUUAGAUUGGGGACAACAGUUGGAAACGACUGCUAAUACCGAAUGUGCCUUUAGGGGUGAAAGAUUUUAUUGUCUAAAGAUUGGCUCGCGUCAGAUUAGCUAGUUGGAGUGGUAACGGCACACCAAGGCGACGAUCUGUACUUGGUCUGAGAGGAUGACCAGGCACACUGGAACUGAGACACGGUCCAGACUCCUACGGGAGGCAGCAGUGGGGAAUUUUCCGCAAUGGGCGCAAGCCUGACGGAGCAAUACCGCGUGAGGGAGGACGCUUUUUGGAGUGUAAACCUCUUUUAUUAGGGAAGAAUCGAUGACGGUACCUAAUGAAUCAGCAUCGGCUAACUCCGUGCCAGCAGCCGCGGUAAUACGGAGGAUGCAAGCGUUAUCCGGAAUUAUUGGGCGUAAAGCGUCCGUAGGUGGCUUAGUAAGUCUUUUGUCAAAUCGUGCAGCUCAACUGCAUACAGGCAGAGGAAACUACUGAGCUAGAGUGCGAUAGGGGUGACAGGAAUUCCCAGUGUAGCGGUGAAAUGCGUAGAUAUUGGGAAGAACACCAGCGGCGAAAGCGUGUCACUGGGUCUGCACUGACACUGAGGGACGAAAGCUAGGGGAGCGAAU